This is a long non-coding RNA of Athene cunicularia (burrowing owl), 603 nucleotides long. RefSeq lists it as uncharacterized. The transcript is spliced from 3 exons. Lineage: Eukaryota; Metazoa; Chordata; Aves; Strigiformes; Strigidae. The record is from RefSeq and is a predicted model, not a curated record.
CGGGGGACGGAGGAAGUUUGGUUGAACUGUGCCAUCGCCGCAGUGCAGCAUCCGUAUUCACGAAAGCUGUUACGCUACAUGGCUGGCGGUAGGGCCUAGCGGGGAAGGGGAAUUUGCGCAAGUGGCGUACCCGGUUAAUGGCGGCAGUUGGGCUGCCGCCUUCCUUCGCUGUUCGCUCCUGUGCCUCAACCCUCAGAGAGCCCCAGUUUAGAGGCCUAGAGCGUGAGUUACAGUUGAUUCUGUCAUAGAAGCCAGCUAUCAAGAAAAAGAGGAAUACCUCCCACACACACACUUCAGUAUUAAUACUCUAGGCCAGCAAAAUCUUGGAAUCAGUGAACCUCAGGAUUCAAAAGAAGCUUUUGCAGCUGGAAACUUUACUGGAAGAUGCAAAGUCGUCACUUCUGCUGUCCCUCUCAGAAUUGCUGUGACAGAGCUUUUCAAGGGAAAUCACCACUAAAUGCAGCUAGGGCUGCCUGGAAGAAAAAGUACCGAGAACUCUGUUGGCCUCCUUGUGAUGUCAGUUGAUGAUCUAGCCUCAUGUGAUGCCGGCUCCUCUGUAUGGUGUUAUAACCUAUUACAGGUAACAACUGUAAUUAACUGUAA